CAGGAGGCAGCGGUACCAUUGAUCCGUUCCCUGGAAGCUGAAUAUAUAUAUACGCAACAUUACAGCAAAAGGAAUCGGUCGAUAAACCUCUGCAUCCAG
Molecule: microRNA precursor, 99 nt
Filed under: Solanum lycopersicum (tomato)
Lineage: Eukaryota; Viridiplantae; Streptophyta; Magnoliopsida; Solanales; Solanaceae
Description: miR162 stem-loop (sly-MIR162)
Gene: sly-MIR162
Source: miRBase by way of RNAcentral